RNAcentral lists this ribosomal RNA (433 nucleotides) under uncultured bacterium. RNAcentral describes it as "partial 16S ribosomal RNA". It matches the Rfam family "Bacterial small subunit ribosomal RNA", at positions 29 to 507 of the family's 1533-position model. The record is from RNAcentral.
AACGAACGCUGGCGGCAUGCCUAACACAUGCAAGUCGAACGAGACCUUCGGGAGUAGUGGCGCACGGGUGCGUAACGCGUGGGAACCUGACCUUAGGUUCGGAAUAACUACCCGAAAGGGGUGCUAAUACCGGAUAAUGUCUUCGGACCAAAGAUUUAUCGCCUUUGGAUGGGCACGCGUUGGAUUAGCUCGUUGGUAGGGUAAAAGCCUACCAAGGCGACGAUCCAUAGCUGGUCUGAGAGAAUGAUCAGCCACACUGGGACUAAGACACGGCCCAGACUCCUACGGGAGGCAGCAGUGGGGAAUAUUGGACAAUGGGCGAAAGCCUGAUCCAGCAAUGCCGCGUGAGUGAUGAAGGCCUUAGGGUUGUAAAGCUCUUUUACCCGGGAUGAUAAUGACAGUACCGGGAGAAUAAGCUCCGGCUAACUCCGUG